RNAcentral lists this microRNA precursor (75 nucleotides) under Schistosoma mansoni. Its description in RNAcentral is "microRNA sma-mir-2c precursor". Its record names the gene sma-mir-2c. Lineage: Eukaryota; Metazoa; Platyhelminthes; Trematoda; Strigeidida; Schistosomatidae. The record is from miRBase by way of RNAcentral.
GGCGCAUCCCUUGUUCGACUGUGAUGUGUUCGAAGUAAACUCAUAUCACAGCCGUGCUUAAGGGCUUCGUCAAAA